AAUUAAUUCCACAGGGUGGAACAUGUCUUGAAAACGUGUCUCAAGAGUUCAACUCUCUUAUUAAUUU
Molecule: transfer RNA, 67 nt
Filed under: Paraleptophlebia submarginata
Lineage: Eukaryota; Metazoa; Arthropoda; Insecta; Ephemeroptera; Leptophlebiidae
Description: tRNA-Ser
Source: RNAcentral